This 492-nucleotide ribosomal RNA is filed under the name uncultured bacterium. RNAcentral's name for it is "partial 16S ribosomal RNA". It matches the Rfam family "Bacterial small subunit ribosomal RNA", at positions 29 to 507 of the family's 1533-position model. The record is from RNAcentral.
AGUGAACGCUGGCGGUAGGCCUAACACAUGCAAGUCGAACGGCAGCACAGUAAGAGCUUGCUCUUACGGGUGGCGAGUGGCGGACGGGUGAGGAAUACAUCGGAAUCUACUUUUUCGUGGGGGGUAACGUAGGGAAACUCACGCUAAUACCGCAUACGACCUACGGGUGAAAGCAGGGGAUCUUCGGACCUUGCGCGAUUGAAUGAGCCGAUGUCGGAUUAGCUAGUUGGCGGGGUAAAGGCCCACCAAGGCGACGAUCCGUAGCUGGUCUGAGAGGAUGAUCAGCCACACUGGAACUGAGACACGGUCCAGACUCCUACGGGAGGCAGCAGUGGGGAAUAUUGGACAAUGGGCGCAAGCCUGAUCCAGCCAUACCGCGUGGGUGAAGAAGGCCUUCGGGUUGUAAAGCCCUUUUGUUGGGAAAGAAAAGCAGCAGGUUAAUACCCCGCUGUUCUGACGGUACCCAAAGAAUAAGCACCGGCUAACUUCGUG